Non-coding RNA from Bos taurus (domestic cattle), 73 nucleotides. The record is from Rfam. NCBI's taxonomy places the organism in Eukaryota, Metazoa, Chordata, Mammalia, Artiodactyla, Bovidae.
UCCUUGGUGGUUCAGUGGUUAGGACUCCACACUUUCACUGCCAAGGGCCCAGGUUCGAUCCCUGGUCAGGAAA